UUGAACGCUGGCGGCAGGCCUCACACAUGCAAGUCGAGCGGAUGAAGGGAGCUUGCUCCUGGAUUCAGCGGCGGACGGGUGAGUAAUGCCUAGGAAUCUGCCUGGUAGUGGGGGAUAACGUCCGGAAACGGGCGCUAAUACCGCAUACGUCCUGAGGGAGAAAGUGGGGGAUCUUCGGACCUCACGCUAUCAGAUGAGCCUAGGUCGGAUUAGCUAGUUGGUGGGGUAAAGGCCUACCAAGGCGACGAUCCGUAACUGGUCUGAGAGGAUGAUCAGUCACACUGGAACUGAGACACGGUCCAGACUCCUACGGGAGGCAGCAGUGGGGAAUAUUGGACAAUGGGCGAAAGCCUGAUCCAGCCAUGCCGCGUGUGUGAAGAAGGUCUUCGGAUUGUAAAGCACUUUAAGUUGGGAGGAAGGGCAGUAAGUUAAUACCUUGCUGUUUUGACGUUAUCAACAGAAUAAGCACCGGCUAACUUCGUG
Molecule: ribosomal RNA, 483 nt
Filed under: uncultured bacterium
Lineage: Bacteria
Description: partial 16S ribosomal RNA
Rfam family: Bacterial small subunit ribosomal RNA
Source: RNAcentral